This 253-nucleotide ribosomal RNA is filed under the name uncultured bacterium. RNAcentral's name for it is "partial 16S ribosomal RNA". It matches the Rfam family "Bacterial small subunit ribosomal RNA", at positions 524 to 777 of the family's 1533-position model. The record is from RNAcentral.
UACGGGGGAGCAAGCGUUGUUCGGAUUUACUGGGCGUAAAGGGCGCGUAGGCGGCCACCGCAAGUCGACUGUGAAAUCUCCGGGCUUAACCCGGAAAGGUCAGCCGAUACUGCGGGCUAGAGUGCAGAAGGGGCAACUGGAAUUCUCGGUGUAGCGGUGAAAUGCGUAGAUAUCAGGAGGAACACCGAUGGCGAAAGCAGGUCUCUGGGCAUUAACUGACGCUGAGGAGCGAAAGCAUGGGGAGCGAACAGGA